Molecule: transfer RNA, 73 nt
Filed under: Draconibacterium sp.
Lineage: Bacteria; Pseudomonadati; Bacteroidota; Bacteroidia; Marinilabiliales; Prolixibacteraceae
Also listed under: 1 other name
Description: tRNA-Ala
Source: RNAcentral
GGAACUGAUUGGUAAGGUUUAGGACAUCCCGAUUGCAUCGGGAGGGUCACUGGUUCGAAUCCAGUAGUUUCCA